RNAcentral lists this ribosomal RNA (497 nucleotides) under uncultured bacterium. RNAcentral describes it as "partial 16S ribosomal RNA". It matches the Rfam family "Bacterial small subunit ribosomal RNA", at positions 28 to 507 of the family's 1533-position model. The record is from RNAcentral.
GAUGAACGCUGGCGGCGUGCCUAAUACAUGCAAGUCGAGCGAACGGACGAGAAGCUUGCUUCUCUGAUGUUAGCGGCGGACGGGUGAGUAACACGUGGAUAACCUACCUAUAAGACUGGGAUAACUUCGGGAAACCGGAGCUAAUACCGGAUAAUAUUUUGAACCGCAUGGUUCAAAAGUGAAAGACGGUCUUGCUGUCACUUAUAGAUGGAUCCGCGCUGCAUUAGCUAGUUGGUAAGGUAACGGCUUACCAAGGCAACGAUGCAUAGCCGACCUGAGAGGGUGAACGGCCACACUGGAACUGAGAAACGGUCCAGACUCCUACGGGAGGCAGCAGUAGGGAAUCUUCCGCAAUGGGCGAAAGCCUGAAGGAGCAAAGCCGCGUGAGUGAUGAAGGUCUUCGGAUCGGAAAACUCUGUUAAUAGGGAAGAACAUAUGUGGAAGUAAAUGUGCACAUCUUGACGGUACCUAAUCAGAAAGCCACGGCUAACUACGUG